Molecule: long non-coding RNA, 429 nt
Filed under: Sorghum bicolor (sorghum)
Lineage: Eukaryota; Viridiplantae; Streptophyta; Magnoliopsida; Poales; Poaceae
Description: long non-coding RNA (SBIC_LNC006127)
Source: RNAcentral
UAUUUUUUUUUCUAUAUUUUAUGAGCACAAAAUAGCAAAUUAAAUUAUUUUUCAUAUAUUUCCAAAAGAGCAAAAUUUAGGGUGUUACAAUUCUACCCCCCUUAAAAUGAAUCUCGUCCUCGAGAUUCGGAAGAGGCUCGGAUCCUCUGAGAGAAACAGGAAAAUAUAUUGAUAAUCCUUUCAUCUUCACAACUUGCAUACCAAACUUAAACACUUGUCUCAAGGUCACACCUCAUGAACAUAAUUUCCAUUGAACUAUUAUUCAUAAUUGACCAAAGUCCAUCUUGACUACUAAUUUAUUUUAGCUUACAACUCCAAGAGACAUGGAAACUUAAUAUGUAUUUGCCUCCUCAGGUAGGAGUGGACCACCGUGAUACUCAAUUCUUUUCCCUGACGGUGCUGUUAAGAGCAUUUUGUACUGGGUACCAU